UUAGGCGGCAACCCGCUCAGUUU
RNAcentral lists this microRNA (23 nucleotides) under Singapore grouper iridovirus. RNAcentral describes it as "miRNA-1-5p". The record is from RNAcentral. Lineage: Varidnaviria; Bamfordvirae; Nucleocytoviricota; Megaviricetes; Pimascovirales; Iridoviridae.